This is a non-coding RNA of Caenorhabditis elegans, 118 nucleotides long. Lineage: Eukaryota; Metazoa; Nematoda; Chromadorea; Rhabditida; Rhabditidae. The record is from Ensembl.
CAACACGAGACAUUUUCAAGUAGCUUCUCGGUUUUUCCCUUUUUCUACCGUCUCUAACUGCUUGCGAAGGGGGGCGCGCAAACACUAAGGGGAAAAGCCUACACUUCAACCGACACCC